This 17087-nucleotide long non-coding RNA is filed under the name Gallus gallus (chicken). Its description in RNAcentral is "lncRNA (ENSGALG00010006230.1)". The record is from RNAcentral. Lineage: Eukaryota; Metazoa; Chordata; Aves; Galliformes; Phasianidae.
AUUUGCUUUCCAUUUUUCAGAGGCUGCUUUAAAGACAGGCUAAAUUAUUAACCAGAGGCACUAACAUUUGGAAAACAAAAAGCUCAAGGACGUACAUACAGUAGCUCUAAACCUGCAGUGGUGUGGGGGAUGUUUCUUGACUGAUAUUGGAAGUGUAGAAUUAGCAUAAUCAGCAGUCAUUACUCCAGAGUCUCUGGACUCUUUGAUACUCUUGCUGUGAGCAGAAUGUGCUUCAACAUGCUGUGUUCCACUCAUUGAGAAAAUGAAAGAUUUGAAGAGACUGUGGAUUAAUGAUCUCCAGUUGGCCAGUUUCACUUGUGUAGGUAACAGCAGAUGGCAGAAGAGGGGCAGUCUGACAAAAUGGUGUCUGACAUGGAAGUGCGGAUGAAGCAAAGGUGUGUCACUGACUUCCUUCAUGUGGAAAAAAUGCCACCCACUGACAUUCAUCAGUGCUUGCUGAAUGCUUAUGGAGACCAAAAAGUGGAGAGCAUGUUCCCUAGCCUCACAGACCUCAGAUCUGUAGUUGAAGCACUGGAGCUGAAACCGUAUCAUUGGCACUGGGACAACUAGGCUGGACUUGGAUAAUUCCGGAAUCCUCACUGCAAGACCUGAUACAUCUUCUCAGAUGGGACAGUUAAGCAGUUUCACUAUUACUUGCUCUCCUUCUUCCCUAUUCCCCUGUGGUUGAUUCACACAAAAAUAAAUUAUCUUCAUCAGCUAUACUUUUCAUGCACAGCUCUUGGUCUAGGCUGCUGGUUUAAAAGAUCUGAAUUAAAAUCUAUUUACUUCCAGUGUCACGUUGAAAUACUGGUUUAUUUGCAGGAAAUGUUUCAUUUUGUUUUUCUUUUAGGAUUCUUUUUUCUUUCACUUCCUUUAUUUUAAGAUAUAUUUUACCACUUCCUAUUUCAGCCUUUGUAUAAGUACUUGUUGAUAAUCUAUUAUUUUUUCUAAUUAUAUUUUUAUAUCUCCUUUAUUCAGUGUACUGCUGAAGGAAAAGCAGAACAAUAAUGAAAGUAAAUGAGCUAUAUGGUUGAGAUGAAAAUUAAAUAGCCUUUCUGAAUUUGUCAGUUUUCUACAUAGUUUUUAUUUGAGAGUUUAUUAUAAAUGCAACCAUGCUGAAUUGAAGUUGUAAAGACUUGUUCUGCCUUUCCCUACUUCCUUUGUGCUUGCUUUUGUGGCUGUGGUGAAGCAUGAAGUAUUCAAUUUAAUAAUUACAUUUAAAAGAAAGUUAAUUAUACAAAGCUGCUCUGUGCCACAUCCACAUAAAUACAUUUAGUUGUCAAAUUUGCUGAAAUUUGAAUCUCCCUGGAAGAGCGUUAGUAUUACAAUUUCGCACACUUCAACAGCAGCUAUGUAAAUACUCAACUCUGAAAUCAAAUGCUAAUUUUUCCCAAGGAUUAGAUAAGUCAUGUAGCUAAUAUUUUUGUUGACUUUUAUCCCAAUAAGAUUUGCACUGUCCUACUUAUAAUGUGAAAAAAUAGAUUUCUGGUUAGGACACUUGGCAAUCACGGGGAUGUUGCAGUUCAGAUCCAGUUGUUGAUGUGUUCUCAUACAUUUUCAGUCACAUCAUGUUUUUAAAACAUGCUCAGUCAUAUUUUUAGGAUAUGUUGAUUUUUUUUUGUGUUUGGAGGUGAAGACAAUAUUUUACACAGUCAUAUAUACUGUAAGCUGCUAAAUAGCAUAUCCUUUUAAUGUGACAAAUAUCUAUACUGUUAGCUAACAUGGACAGUGCAAUCUCAUUGUGGGAGUUAAGUGAUGAGAUGAAAUAGCCCAUGAUCUUGGAAAUGUGGGUUACAGUUUCUUAGGUAUUACAGACUAUAUCACUAAUGAAGCAAUUUGUUCUGUGUCCACUCACAUUUCAUUUGCUGCCAUCAACAAUUAAGAGAUGUCGUAGUAAGGUCAUCGUAGAUUAACACCUUGUCUUUGCAAAGAUCUCAUUAAAAUAGAGAGGAAUUCUAAUUCCUAGCCAAGAUAAUGUUAAUUUGAUGAGAGAAUAAAUAUUGUGGAAGCAAUUUGUGCAAGAGAAAUGAAUGUUAAAAGUAUUAUUCUCUUUUCAAUAAAAGAAGUAAUUCUUACAUGGAAAGAUAGCCUAUUGAAAAAAAUAGUCAGACAUGUUACUGCAGGAAAUGGUUAGAUACCUUGGCCUGGUUAAGGAAGCAUGUCAUGUUGUCCGAGAUUUGCACAGAUGUGCAGAGCCAUAAAUAAAUUGAACAGAAAAUAAGAUUUCUCCCUUUGCUGGUUGCCAGUGUUACAGUUAAACUACAAAGAAAGUAAUUUCUCCAACCAUCAUACAUUUACUUCCCAGUCAUCCUCGAAUGCUUGUAACAGUGAAGGGCGUUGUAAUUGACAUUUCAUUCUAAUACACUGGCUGCCUUGCCUGAAUUUUGGCUGGUUGAUAAGGCUCUUGGAAAUCCAGAGUCUCAUCAUGUCCUGAACAAUUUCAAUCCAGCCCUAUGGCAAUCUAAGUGCUUAACCAGCAAAACAGGAAAGACAAUAUUUGGAGAUGCUACCUUUCAAAAUGCACACAGCAGAGUAACUGAAAUAAUCAAAUUGCUCCUGAAUAAUCCUUUUUCAAAUUUGAAAGCAGAAUGAAGAAAAGAUUUAAAAGAAUAUACAUGUCAAUUUAAGCAAAUAAAAUGUGCAGACAUGAAUUCAUCACAACUGUAUUGUCACUGACGUUGCAUUUCAGAUAAAUUUGAUGAUAAUAUCACAUUUUUUUAAAGGAGGAAAAAAAUCAAUAAUUUUGUCUACAGACUUUGCAUUAUAUUCCAGUUACUUGAAAGAAAAUGUCAUGUGCAUCAACUCAUUCUUCAGGAUGUACUUUCUGAAAAGAUGUGGAUAAUAUUACAUAGACUAAGGGGAACACAGCUACGUUUGAGCUGCUUUAAGGCAAUGGUCCAUGUGCAUGCCCUACCAUGUGGAACCCUGUUGAGAAUCAGUUUAUUCAGAUGGCAGCAGAGGGAAGGUCUGACAGAAUGCUGUUUGACAUGGGAGCAUGCAUGAAAUGUGGAAUUCCUCCAUGUGGGAAAAAUUGCACCCACUGAUAUUCAUUGACACUUGCUGAACAUAUAUGGAGACCAAACAGUGGAUGUGAACACAGUGAAGUGAUGUGUGGUGUUUCAGCAGUAGCAACAGUGAUGUGAAAGACAAGCCAUAUUCCAGAUGGCCAUGAAGAUUUUUAUGAGCACAACAUUCAGGCCUUUGUUCAUUGCUAGUGAUGAAUAUGUACAAAAAUAGUAUCCUGUAGCUGAGAAUUUUGUCUGUCAGUGUUAUUGUACUCUUUGUGUCUGUUAUAGUUUCCAUGGAAAUAAAUAGGAGGCAUUACUUUUGGAACUACCAACAGAGAUAACCAGCUAUAAGCCAAAUUUCUAACUUUCAAAUGACUAAAUUUAGGUUAGAUGUAGUCCAUGCAUAACUGUAUUUUCUUAUUCUAUGAAGAAUGUAAGAAUGGCUACAGUAGUUUAUAUCCUAAGUCUCAACUGAUGGCUAGUAUUGCUUGUCUAGAAAAGAGUUUAUGAUAAGGGAAAUAAUAUGUCCGCAUUGUUCCCUAUAUGUUUGCAUUCUUCAGUCAUCUGACACUAAGCAUGAUACUCAGUUUGAGAUUUGGUCUUCAUAUCACAUUCAAAUAGGAAAUGCUGAGUGAUUUAAUGUAACUAAUGCAAUCUAAUCUGUAGCCAUUAGACAAAAAUAACAAUUAGACGUGCCACUUUUCUGCAUGGAUAUUACAAAUUUAAGGCCAUCCCUUAUAAAUGAAAAAUGCUACUUCAGAGUGUUUACUGAAAACAUGAGGGCAUUUUUACCACAAGAAAACUACACAGUGAUUGUUAUCUCCAUGUAAAAUCCUAACAGGCAUAAGGUAGAGCUAGUUUUAACCUCAGAGCACUGAGAUAAACCUGAAGAAGUAAAUACAAAGCUGACCUUCACUGACCAUAUCAAGGCAUAGAUAUAGAUAGCUAUUACAUUGUUUGAGAUAUUCUCUUUUUUGUUUUAUUUAUAAUAAAAUACUUCUGUCCUUUAUUUCUCCUUACUUCAGUGAUAUAAUAUGGAUGCUUUUCCAGUUCAGAGGUGAAGUUUUUUUCUCUGCAAAAGAAUCACAAAAUCACAGAAUUGCAGAAAUUGAAAGAGACCUCAAGAGAUCAUCGAGUCCAGCCUGCCCCUGCUAAAGCAGGUACCCUACAAGAGGUCACACAGGUUGCUGAUGAUGUUGAACAAGACCAGACCCAGCACUGACACCUGGGAAGCACCGGUAAUUAAAGGCCUCAAGCCAGAUUCUGUGCUGCUGAUGACAACCCUGUGAGCUCUGACAGUGAAACAGUUCUCAAUCCAGCUCACUGUCCACUCAUCUGUGCCACAUUCUCUACAUUUCAUAACCGGGAUGUUGUGGGAGACGGUGUCAAAUGCCCUACUGAAGUCACGGUACACAACAUCCACUGCUCUCCCUCCAUGUACCCAGACAGUGGUGACAUCAUAGAAGGAUAUCAGGUUGGUCAAGCAUGAUUUCUCCUUGGUGAAUACAUAUUGACAACUCUUGAUAACUUUCUUCUCUUCCAAUUGCUUGGAGAUGGCGUAAAGAGCAAGUUGUCCAUCAUCUUUCUAGGGAUGGAGGUGAGGCUGACUGGCCUGUAGUAUCCCAGAUCCUCCUUCUUGCCCUUUUUGAAGACUGGAGUGACAUUCUUUAUCUUCCAGUCUUCAGACACCUCUCCCAUUUGCCAAGACCUUUCAAAGAUUAGAUAGAUAGCAGUUUAGCAGUCAUCUCUUUUAGUUCUCUCAGCACAUUUGGGUACAUCCCAUCAGGUCCCAUGGAUUUAUGUACAUUGAUUUUUGCUAGAUUCACUCUGACCAGAUCCACCUUGAUCACUGGAAAGUCCACCUUUGCCCAGACUCUCUUACCUCCAGGGUCUGGAAUUCCAGAGGGCUAGUCUCAGCAUAAAAGACUGAAACAAAGAGGGCAUUCAGGAUCUCUGCCUUCUCAGCAUCCCCUGUUACCAAGGCACCCAUCUCAUUUAGUAGGGAACCCACAUUUUCCCUAGUCUUCCUUUUACUGUUGACAUAGUUAAAAAAAAUAUUUCUUCUUAUCCUUUUCCUCCUUUGAAGGGUUUAAUUCCAAGAGGGCCUUAGCCUUCCUACAAUUCCUGAAAACAUUCCUUACUCUUGCCACCUUUUCCCAGUUUCUUACUCUUACUGGCCCAGGAAUGGACCAGUCUUGAGCUUGGAAGAAAUUGUGUUUAAGCACCAACUAGCUCUCAUGGUUCCCCUUUCCUUCUAACACUCUAGCCCAUGGAAUAACUCCAAGUAGGUCUUUGCAGAAGUAGUUAUUUGUCUCUCGUGAAGUCCAGGGUAGCAAUUCUACUUAUUGCUUUGCUUCUCCCACACAAGAUCUUGAACUCCACCAUCUUGUGACUGCUGCAUCCCAAGCUUCUCCCACAUAUCACAUCCCUGACCAGCCCUUCCUUGUUAGUAGAAACAAGUUCAAGUAGCACACCCCUCCUAGUCGGCUCCUCCACUACUUGUGUCAGAAAGCUGUCAUCAAAGCAUUGCAGGAACUGCCUGGACCUUGUGUGACUGUCCAUGCUUCUUAACCAACAAAUAUCAGAAUGGUUGAAAUCCCUGAUAAUAACCAGUGCUGGGGAUUGCAAGGCUUCUUCCAGCUGUUUGUAGAAGGCCUCAUCCACUUCCUUCUCCUGAUCAGGUGACCUGUAGUACACAUCCACAACAAUGUCACCUAUGUUAGCACUCCCCUUAAUUCUUACCCACAAAUUCUACACUUGUUCCACCCAAGUGGAGCUCAAUACAUUCUAAUUGCUUUCUUGCAUGAACAGCAACUCCACCACUUCAUCUUGCCAGCUGGUCUUUCCUUAAGAGGACAUAGCCAUCCAUGACAGCAUUCCAGUCAUGUGAGCUGUCCCACCAUGUCUCCAUGGCUGCAAUGAAAUCAUGGCCCUGUGAUCACACACAGAUAUAUAGUUCUUCCUGUUUAUUUCCCAUGCUGUGUACAUUGGCAUAUGGGCACUUUAGGGAAGCAGAGGGUGCAGAUAUCUCUAGAGGAGUGCUGAGGGUUUAAGCUGAGCUAUUGGCAAAGGAAACUUGUUAACCUAAGUUAAAUAAUUAAAAAAGGAAGUAUCUGAGAGGUAGGCCUGAGAAGUACUGAUAAUUGCUGUCAUACCUUACAAGAAUAUUAAAAAUCAUUUGUCUGUUCCUCUUCCCACUUUAUACUACAUCAUUCACUCAAAUUUGCAUGAUGUUUUCAAUUGCUUCAUGUUGAAUAUCAGAUUAAGAAGUAUCACAUAUUCAGUAUAAUUUCUUAUCCCUUCCUGGGUGCAUCUUCAUGUUUACUGUCAUUCACACUGGAAAUUCCCAGUAAAUACAAAAAAUGUGAGAAUACCAUGAAUGUAAGUCACUGAAAGUGGUAUCUCCUGUUUACUUCCAUGGAAAACAAAACAGAUACAAAGAGCACAAUAACGCUAUUUGAUAGAGCAAAUUCUAAGCCACAAACUACUAUUUUUCAACAUGAUUACCUUUACUUUUGCCAGCAGCGAACAAGAGUUUCCAUGCCACGUUCAUAAAAUCUGCUCCAUUGGAGGCGACCUACUGCUGCUAUCACCAUUGCUGAAACACAUCACCCACCACCUCACUGCUCACAUACACUGUUUGGUCUCCAUAAGCAUUCAGCAAGUAUUGAUGAAUGUCAGUAGGUACAAUUAUUUUUGAAUGGAGGAAAUCAAUGACACACCUUUGCUUCAUAACACCCUACAGUAUUUUAUCAGACUGCCCCUCUAACGCCAUCCAGCACACAGCAACAAAAUAUAGAGUAUUGGUGGGAAGGUUCAGCCUCUACUGCUAUACAACCAACAUUCCAUGUCUGCCAUUGCAGGCCAAUGUAAUAAAAUAUGAUGCAUCACUUUUGGAGCAGCCAUCAUGCCAUGAGUAUUUUGGCUUUCAUAUAUUGUAACUGAUAUAAUAUGUUCAACUUUUCUUAAUAUAAUAGUUUAGAGUCUUAUUUUUAUUUACUAUUUUCUUUCUUGUUCCUAAGAAAGUCUUUGAAUGUUGCAACUCUCAUUAUCUAGUCUUGCUGGGAAAACCAUAAAAAAGUCAAAGCACCUAUAUAUGUAGAAAAUAUAAUAUGAAGCAAAUCAAGAAUGAAAGAUAAAGAAUUAACUCAGAAAACAAUGAGAUUUGUAUUUAAAAAAAUACAUAACUUUGACUUUUUAUUAUUAUUCACAUAUAUUCUGCCUACAAGUUCUAAACUCUUAGAAAUACUGCAGUUGAUAAUCACACAGAGCAUUCCAAAAGCACCAAUAAAUUCAGUGAAAUACUCAUGAUGGUGACCUUAUGUUAUUAGUGUUACCUCAAAAAAGUCUCAAUAUAUGUAGCUGACAGCUGUACAUGUGCAUUUUGCUUCGGUAUAUCAGAUUUUUGUGCAGAUGAAGAUUGUGUUAUGACUGUCUCUUUCAUAGGUGAUAACAGUUCUGUUUCUCUUUGAGAGGUGCAAAACACAAUUGCUCCUAUGUGAUCCACAGACCUUAUGGAUGUGGAGGGUGAAAUAUUACUUAGGACAACUGUGUAGAUGCAACAAACUAUCAGCAUUGCAUAAACCAUUCUCCAUAUUUUGUCAUUUGACAGUUUCUGAUUUAUGCUGUUUCUCCAUCCAUCUGAAGUAGGUGUUUUUGUGCUUGUGUCAUGACUCUGUGUGAGUCCAGUUUCCUUCAGACAUACUUCUGGUUCCUGGCGUUACUCUUUCACCACACAGACUGUACGGAGUGCAUUUCAAAAGCUACCCUACCAAAUAAAAUAAUGGCUAUUUCUAGAAAUGUUGGUAGACCAAACUCUUUCUGUAGGCAGUCUUAGGCCAGUUGUAAAUAUCUAUAUUUAAAAAUACAAGCAUAACUCUAGAUUCCAGAGCAGCAGAAGUAUCUCAUUGAAUCAACUCCGUCUGUUUUUAGGCAUACUUUCAUGAUUCACAAAAUGAAGUCUUAUCUAUUACUUUCUACAGACCUUGUUCUUCUUCUUGUUUUCCUUUAAAGAAGAAAAGAUGCAAAAGCGGUGGUACCUACAUGUAGAAUUCUGAAAAUAAUGGAAAUUAAGAUAAUAAAUCUCUCCUAACAAGAACAUAUAUGAUGUUUCUGCUUCUUAGAGAUAAGUCAGGUGUUUGGAAAGCUUCUUGCAAUCACUGAGUGUAGUGCUUUAGAAGUCUUGUCUGUUGAGUGAGAAAAAAGAACAAAUAGAAGGCAGGUCUUUCUUAUAUAAGGGUUUCUAACACUCAGUAUUCAUCAAAGCCUCUAUCCUGUCCAACCCUUUUACAAUGAUCUCACUUUCAUGAGAAGAAACAAGUGUUUGUUAAAGUAUUACGUCUCCUGCUAUAUAUCAAGGGUUUGUGACAAAGCCCGAACAAGUGACCAAGACACAUCUUUUAUACAUUUUCAGUCCUAAAGAAGAGACUGGACUGGGGCUUUCUUAGAGUCAUAUUCCUUGUAUCCACAAACAAGUAACGAUGUUGCAUAAAUUAGGGACUGCAUCUACCCUUUCUAAGAGAGGAAAGGAGAUGUUUUCUGUGUAAUAAAUCGGCUGCAAGACUAACUAAAUGCAUUUUGUAGUACUUUUUAUGGAGCAAGUGCAAUAUUUUUUACAGAUAAAGCAUAGCCAAGAGCAAAGGUUGAUGAUGGCUAUAUAAUUAAAGGCAUUCAAACUGUGCAAGUUGUCUGCCAACAAACGCUUUGCAAUGAAAAAGGCUCCAUAUUCAGCAACUGCUUUAAAAAUACUGUUCAAGCAUGGAUUUCCUUAAACUACCACUUGUCUGGCAAUGGCUUCCUCACCUGUGUAAUAAGAUUAAGAGAUCUACUUGAAAGCCAGAAAAGCUUUGCAAGUCAAGUGGAUAUUUGCAUAUUUUACAUUGCCAAAUACCUAAAGGAGAGAAACGUUUUCUGAAAGAUGAGGAAAACGUACAGAACACUAGAACUAGCACAAGGUUUUUAGACUCAAAGCAGCCCAAGUUCCUGAUUUUUGCCAGCUCUGCCAGCAUUGUUAAGUUAGUAAAAAAUAAAAAUAAAAAUCUGUUUGCAAUGACUACAUGAACUUUACAAACUAGUAAAUAGUUAAUAUUUAAUCUUAAAUGUACUUCGGGUUUUAAAUCAAGAGAAACUAUUUCAGUGUCUCAGGUGUCAGAUGGGGUAGCUAAUGAAGUGCUUUCUUGAGUGAUUUCUGUCACAAGCCUGCAUUCUGCAAAAUAGACCUUGGAAGAUUACAGAUACAUCAGAGGUAUCUGUAGAUACCUUUCAAGAAUAAAAAUAACAAAAUAACCUUACUGUAGUGUUUUGUGACAUUUAUUUUCUUUGAAUAGCAAAAUACACUCUAUAUCAGUUUCAAAAAUAAAAUAAAUUUUAAAAAGUGUCAAUUUUCUUAAUGUGAUUUGCUUUAUUUUGCUAGCAUGAGAUUACUGAAAUCAGUUGGAAUACCUGAAUACAUUAAAAAUAGGGGAAAUGCAAUGUGUUAUGGGCAAAAAGUUCUAUAUUGAAUAGAAAAUUAUGGUAAGUCACAAAUAUUUCUGCUUAGUCUUAUACUAAGUACAGGCAAACAGUAAGCUUUCUCUUUUAAGUCCUGCCAGUUCAGGCCAGUAGUGACCCACAGUAUACUUUUCCUGUCCAGAAUUUCUCUUGAGAAAAGCUUGCCAAUCACACAAAAUUACUUGGUGCUUUGGGGAUCUGGACAUAUACAGAUAAGGGAAUCAACUACCAAACUUAUUUGAUGUGUAUCAUAAAUCAGAAGUGAACGUUAGUCUCCCAAGGGAACAAAAAAAAAUGGCCUACUGUAUUAAAAUACUUUGAUACCUUUGAUGUUCAAUGUUUAGAGCAUGAACUAUUUUCUAAACAUCUUUGAACUGAAGCUGAAAGAUACACUACUGAAAUCUACUCUUGCCUUCCUGCCUGCUUUUUUUUUUUUUUUUUUUUAACCAGCAAGGAGCAUCAAUUCCAUCUUAGACACAGAUAUGUGAUCAUUUGGCAAUGCUCUAAAAUUCUAAUUUAAAAUUGUUAUUUUCUUCUGUGCACAGGAAGACAUUUUUUGGUGGUUUUCUUUCAGGGGAGUGAAUGGUUUUUAGUUUUUCACCAAUUGAUAUCAUGAGAGAGAAUGAAAGACUGUGUAUACAUAAGCCACUGAAUAAUCAGUGAACCCAUUUAAGAGAGAUACCUACUGAGGUCAAUGAAAUUGGCAAUCUAAUGAACAAUCUAAUAGUAUUGUUACAAGUUUUAUGGUUUCUGUUUGUAAUUAACUUUAUGUGACAUUUAUUAUAAAAAGAUCAAAAAUUAUUAGUAGCAAUUACAUUUAAUGCAGCCAUGCAAUUGCACUUAUAUACUUAUUCAACUUUUAUUUUCAUUGACUCCCUGCUUCCUAAGUUAAUGCCUCUCUAUGUAUCAAACAACUUCAAUGUUUAUGAACUUUGGCCAAUAUGAGUAGAAAGUCUUUGUUUUCAUAAUGAUUUAUUUGAAUUCAGUUCUGUGGAUUUUAUCUGGAUACAUUUCUUGCUAUAUGAGAGAAAUCUCUUGAACAAAAGGAAGAAAAAGUAAUCCUUUAUAUUGUACUCAGUUCAUAGUUUCUUUGAAGUGAUGCUGAUAAAGGCAGUUUUGUGUUUUUCAGAAUGGAUUACUAACACAGUAAUAAUCAAAGAGCUGAUUUGUGUCAGUUGUACCACAUAGGGAAGACCCUCUAACUAGAUAUUUUAGAUGUUGAUAGCAUUUAUGAUUGAGUUUUGUAUAUACUUUGUUACAGAUGUGCAUAACUGUCAAAACCCAGGUUUUGUGAAAUGCUAAAAUGAACACACAGACACUGAAAAUAUGAAAAAGUUACAAUUAUGUUAUUCACCACUGAGUUUACAAAAACAGCACAGGUGUCAUUGCCACAGCAAGUCCAUAGAGUUAGUCUGUAUGUUCCACUGCCUCGUCCUGUAGCCCUGAAGUCACAGGUGCCACUGUCAGGCUGAAACCUCCUUUCAGAUGCUCUCUGUCUGGAAGCUUCAAAUCUACUGGAGAAUUCAAAUAGAUGCGAAAAGUCUUUGCAUUUUCUCUACUCAUAUUCACACUGUUCCUUGCCAGUGCUGUCAUAGCCAUGGACUCUACAGGAACAUAAGCAAAAGUCAUUCCAUAUCAGGGAAAAGCAUGUGAUACAGUCACAACAGCCCCUUGUAAUACAAUAAGCAUAGGGCAAAGUGGCUGGAAAGCUCCAUACUGGAGAAGGAUUUGGGGGGUUAGUUGACAGCCAGCUACACAUGAGCCAGCAGUAAGCCCAGAUGUCCAAGAAGGCAUCCUGGGUUAUAUCAGAAAUAUUGUCUGCCCAGGGAAGUGGUGGAUUCACCAUCCCUGGAUGUUUUCAAGGAAAGGGUAGAUAUGACACUUAGGGACAUGGUUUGUGGGCAUGGUGGUGAUGAAUCAGUGGUUGAAUUAGAUAAUGUUAGUGGUCUUUUUCCACCUUAAUGAUUCUCUGAUCCUAUGAUCAUUAAAUAGGGAAGAUAUCUGAAUAAUAGUUCCAAGGAGGCGUAUAGCAGUUUCAGGGAGAAAACUUAUUGACAGACUGGAACAUUUUGAAAUUUCCAAAUUAAAAUUUCUGAACAAUUAUUUUAUCUGUGCAAAAAUCAUAUUUGGAUAUUUUACAACAAUCUGUGGGGAGGGCUACUGUUACUUUUGAUAAUAAUUCAUUGGUGCUUUUAUUGUUUCUUGGCUGACUUUCAACAUGUAGCUCCUACAAUGCAAGGGAAGGUAGACACGGUUUCUGUUACUACACUGAUGGAAUAUUGAAACCUGAAUUGAAGUGCAUUAGCUGAAGUCAGACAAGGUUGUGGUAGCGAUCACUAGGGAAAUUAGAAAACCUUGAAAAACUUUGAAGACAUUUUUUGCUAGGGCACCUAUGUAUUAAAAAACUGUGUCUCUCAGUUAUGAUAAAAUUGUAUUACAUAACCUGAGUGAUCUCAGGAGUUAGUAAGUGACUGAUUUUCUGUUCCCUUGGUAAGCAAUAAUUCAUGCAAACAGAUUGACUGAAGUUUUACCGUGCUAGUGUAAAGAGAAAACAGUGAAAUAUUGUUUGAGAUGUUUUUACAAGUGAAAAUGACAGCAUAUGAAGAAAUAUGUUAUAAAACAGGACAGUAUUAAAAAAGUAAAGAAAGCUAAGCUCAGUCUUUUGAAGAAAAAUAUUAAAGAAGUUGGUAGGAAAAAAAAGAACUCGUUUCAUGUACAUAGAGAGAAAACAGGCAUUAAUAACCUGCAUGUGCACAGAUCAGCAAAUUUAUGAAGAUAUGUAUGAACAGAGAACACGACUUCAAAGCCAUUUGUAAUUACAGAAUGGUUUAUAUUUAAUCCUAAAUGUAUGGAAGGGGAUAAUGAGCUGGGAAAAAAUGAAGGCAUAUCGAACUAUUCUAGCAAAAACAAGGGAAUUUUUGCCAUUUUGUGUACUUUCUAUAGGCUAGAGGGACAAAUUUGUGUAUAGUAGAGUUCCUAUGAAAUUCAGGGUUCUGAUUUGACACAUGAAGUGAAAACAUCUUGGAUGCUUUAAUUUUACUGUGAAAAACCAGCAUAUGAUAUCAUGCACAUUAUAUAUGCAUAUAAAUGAUAUUAUUUUAUGGGUUUUAUGAUCUUUGUUACUGGUAUUCCACAUCAUAAUAUCAUGUAAAGCAUUGGGAGUUAAAAGUUGAGAACAAUUAAUUCUGUUAUUUUUUAUGUAGCAGCUAAUCACAAGGCAAAAUGCUUCCUUUGAUAGGAUCUGAGAAACUGAAAAGCUUGUCUCAGAGAAGUAUUCAUCUCAGCUAAUUUUAAACACUUAUAACAUGGAAGUCUGCAUCUGAGCUAAUGGCCUUAGGCACAUAUGACCUUUCCCUGGUCCACCAUAGAUGAGAUGAGAAGAAAUCUGAAUCUAAAUCCAAAAGAGCAUUUGAAUGUGGAAGUAAAAGCCUGCAUUGUGAAGCCUGAGAGAGAAAUUUGCCCAUGCUUAAUGGUAUUAAUAAAGUUCUGGGGAAGUAGAAUUGAAAAAUUCAGAAGCUUUUUUUUUUCUUUUUUCUUUUUAAUAUCUUGAUGUCUAAGAAUAAAUAAUAAUCCUUUUUCUUUGUAUUCACUUAAAACCGUAAGUUUGCCAAGACAAUUAUUUUCUUGUUUUCCAUAGUUAAUAUUCUGCAAAGUCUUCAAUAAGGAGGUUUCACAGAUGAUUUAAGAACACUUUGAAAGUAUAAUGUACUUCUGUGAAAUGUGGAGGCUGCGAUGAAAUAUUUAAACAUCAAUGGAUUGAGAUGGAAAAUACCUAAUGGCUUUCCUUGCGGAAUCAUGCAUUGAAUAUUUUGGAUUCAUUUUAAAUCUUAGGGGAUCCACCUAACAGUUUAAUUGCUGAGAAAAAAAAUGCUGCAAUUGACAUCUAAACCAAAUUGCUUUAACCAAGUCCUGAAUUAAAAAUAUUUGUGUUUUUAUUACAGAAUAUGAAUUUCAAUAUAUCCGUAAUGGCAGAAUCCCCCAAAAAGCUAUUAACUGAGAUAACUGGCUGAGGAAAUCAACCCACUAAGCAAUUUUGUGAAAAUUAAAAUUCAUUUUCCACACAUUGUAGUGUACUGGUUCAGUAUAGCACCAGUUCAGUAUAGCACCUUUUUCUGUGAUAUUUCCCAUUUGUUAAAAUAGGAGUAGUAGUCAUCCUGUUUCUACCAGUUUAAGAGCCUUAAUAUCAGCAAAGCAAGAGUGCUGAGGAUUUGACAGACACGCUUAGGUCAUUAUUUCAUAGUGCAAAUAUUUUUUAAGUAUGUACAAGGUAAAACCAAAUGAAACAAAUCCAUUAAGCAUCAUUUUUUAUAGCUUUUCUUCCUAUUCCUUGGAAACCUCUGGGGACAGUGAUUCCACCACCUCCCUAGGCAGCCUGUUCCAAUACUUCAUCAGUCCAAGAACUUUUUCCUGAUAUCCAACCUGUUCAGCUAUCCCCCAGUUCAACUCAAAGCCGUUACCUCUUAUACUACUACUGUUACAUGUGAGAAGAGACCAGCCUCCAUCUUGCUACUUCUUCCUCUCAGACUAUUACAGAGCUGUAAGAUCUUUCCUGAGCCUCCCCCUCUCCAGACUAAACAAUCCCAGUUCCAUCAGCUGCUCCCCACAGGACUUUUGUUCCAGACCUUCCAGCAGCUUCUUUGCCCUUCUUAGGAUAUGGUCCAGGGCCUCAGUGUCUUUCUUGUAGUGAGGGGUUCAAAACUGAACGCUGUAUUUGAGGUAUGGCCUCACCAGUGCUGUGUACACGGCAAUGAUCGAUCUCAUGCCUAGUUCUGCUGACUACACUCUUUCUGAUACAAGCCAGAAUGCUAGUGUUCUUGGCUACCUGAGCACACUGUUGAGUCAUGUUCAGCUGAGCACUGGCCAAGAAUCCCAGGUCAUUUUCCACCAAGCAGGUUUCCAGCCACUCUACCCCAAGCCUGUAAUGUUGCACGUGGUUGUUGUGACCAAAGUGCAGGAUUCAGUACUUGGUCUUGUUGAAGCUCAUGCAAUUUGCCUCAGUCCAUCAAUCUAGACUGUCCAGAUACCAACGUAGAACUUUUCUACUCUCAGACAUGGUUUCAUCUGAAGAUUUACUGAUGGCCCACUUAAUCACCUUGUCCAGAUCAUCAAUGAAGAUAUUAAACAGGACCAGCACUAAUACUGACCCCUGGAGAACACCAUUUGUGACUGGUCACCAGCCAGAUUUAACUCCAUUCACCACCACACUCUGGGUCCAGCCCUCCAGCCGGUUCUCUACCCAGUGAAGACUGUACCUGUUCAAGCCAUGGACUGCCAUCUUUUCCAGGAGAAUGCUGUGGGACACAAUGUCAAAGGCUUUAUUCAUGUCUAGGUGGACUACAUCCAUAGCUUUUCCCUCAUCUACUAGGGAAUUUUUGUAGUCAUGAUCCAAAUUUUCAGAAGGUAUCUCUGUAUCCUGAUGAAGAGAUCUUUUAAAUGGCUCAUUGAAGGAGACUCAGAUUGCCUAGAAACUGAUGCGCAUUAUGGUUCCACACCCUUACUCAUAAUUUUUAUAAUUAAUAAAAAUUCAGAGAGAAACUCCUUCCAUUUUAAAUUUGCCCAUAGCACUCCUGUGCUAGAGUUUAGAAUUCUCGACUCUGAAGAUAAACGGAAAAUUAUUUUUUCUAAUUGUAUCCAGGAGCUUUUAUGUAGCAUAUUUUAAAAUGUCACAAAAUAAUGAAGUUUAGAUAAGCCAUUAAGGAAAAAACAUGUUUUUCAACUGAGUAAAGAUGCCAGCAAUUCAAACAAUAGUGCUGCAUUUGUCAGAUAAUUAGCCAAUGAUUGUCUUUUGAACUCUGAAAAUAAAUUUAGAAGGAGCAGAUAUGCUGUGCUGUAAAAUGUGAGAGCUUUCAGAGUUUUUUUUUUUUCUUCUUUUUAAGACUUUUGCUUAAAGAUUUUUUUUGAAGUGUUUUCUAACUAAGUACUUGAAUUAUGUACACAUGAAUAGCCUUUAAGGAAAUCAUACAGGUCUCUUCAACUAUAUGCUAUACAGAUUUUAAUUUUACAGAUUUUUAUUAUUUUAGUUCCACUAAAUGCUUUUAGUUAAGGUUGACCAAAAUUUUCCCCUUUGAGACCAGUUUUUAAAUUCCUUGUAAUUGCCAUAUUUAAACUGUUCAUGCUGUUGUGCCCCAUGCCAUAUGUCUACUCUGGGAUGAAUCGGUUUGGAAAAUUCCAUAAAAAUGGUUCAGUAGUUUUGCAGUAUUGACAAAAAUGCUUUUUUUUCCCCCCAUAACUAAUAUAUUAUGCUGAAGCAGUUAACUUGAAUACUGUUGUUAUUUCCUAAUGAACCUCUGUUUAUGUUGUAUUGAUGUCCUGUAGAAAUGAGUCCAAAUGAAACUUCUGAUAAAAUCUUAGUAACUUGUGGGAAUACAAGAAAAACUGUUCAGAGGAGCAGCUGUGGAGCAAGAUAAACAGCAGUAAGCAAAAGAGCAAAACAAACAAAAAUUGAUCUCUCCUCCCAGCUAUUCAUUUUACUAGGGAUCAAACUCUAUGGUCAAGUAAAAGUUUUUGAUGAACGUUACUUUAGAAUAAAUAUAUCUAAUUAAUUGAAUAGUACUUAAAACGUCAUUUCAACUCUACACAUUUAUUUUUUAGGUGCAAAUCUUUCCCAAGAAUAUUCACAGAACAGAGAAUCAGGCGUAAAACCUAUCUACAUUUACACACUACUUUUUGACAGCAACAUCUUAAAUGUACUAUACUAUUCUGACAUUUUUAAGAGAACUUUUAAGAGAAAAUACUUAUGAGUAUCUGCAGUUCAAAUUUAUGCUAUUCUUUCUUUAUGGUAACUCACAAUAUUGUACACUAACUAUCAAAAGAAAGAAAUUUGUGAUUCCCCUGCAAUAUUUGCCUUUGGAUAAAAGAGGAAAAAAAAUCUAAUGCCUUCACAGACUGUAAUAAGUCUAAAAUUCACAAACUAAACCUCUAGUUCUAAUAACAUGGAAAACAUGCUUAACUCUGGUCACUCAAAUACUUCAGGGUAAGUCCACCUUCAUCUGUUGAAUACUCUUGCAUCCUCAGCACAGUAGCCAGGAAAAUUGACUGUGUGACAUAUCCAAGGUUUUUUUUUGUUUUGUUUUUACCAUGGAAGCCACUCUGUGUUCAUGUGCCUGCUUAUCCUACUGCUUGUUGUUGGUUUAGCCUGGCAGGCAGCUCAGCACUACACAGCCGCUCAUUCUGUUUCUGCCACACUCUUCCUCGCAGUGGGAUGAAUGAAAGAAGUGGAAAAAAGGGUAAAACUCGUGGGUUGAUAUAAUUGCAGUUUAUAAAACAGGAAAGCAAGGGAAAAUAAUGAUAUUGGUCUUAGAAGCCGCUAUUUCCCCUCUCCCUACCCCCCUUCUGGACAACUCCCCCAGUUUUAUUGUUCCCUAUAAUGCCAGAUGGCAUGGGAUAUCUCUUUGGCUAGUUUGGGUCUGUUGUCCUGAUUCUGUCCCUCCCCCCAGCUUCUUGUGCACCCUCAGCUCCUCACUGGCAGAGCAAUACAAGAAGCAGAAAAAACCUCAGUGCUGUGCAAGCAUUGCUAUGCAACAGAUAAAUAAUCGGUGUGCUGUCAACAUUAUUGUCAUCUGUCUCGAUCCAAUUUAUCGAAGAGAGAGG